UACGUAGGGUGCGAGCGUUGUCCGGAAUUAUUGGGCGUAAAGAGCUCGUAGGCGGUUUGCCGCGUCUGGUGUGAAAAUCCAGGGCUUAACCCUGGACCUGCAUCGGGUACGGGCAGACUAGAGUGCGGUAGGGGAGAUCGGAAUUCCUGGUGUAGCGGUGAAAUGCGCAGAUAUCAGGAGGAACACCGGUGGCGAAGGCAAUCCCCUGGGCCUGCACUGACGCUCAUGCACGAAAGCGUGGGGAGCAAACAGG
RNAcentral lists this ribosomal RNA (253 nucleotides) under uncultured bacterium. RNAcentral's name for it is "partial 16S ribosomal RNA". It matches the Rfam family "Bacterial small subunit ribosomal RNA", at positions 524 to 776 of the family's 1533-position model. The record is from RNAcentral.